GAGAAAUAUGGAUGGGAUACGUCACGCUAGUCAAAGGUGCGGAAUGGAGCACCUGGCGUACGGCUCAGUAACACGCCCUUUAAUACCCUAAGGACGAGAACAACUACGGGAAACUGUGCCUAAUUCUCGAUAGGAAAUUUGGCCUGGAACGGUAUCUUUCUAAAAACCGGACCGCCGUGGGACACGGGCCUUAGGAUGGGGCUGCGGCCGAUUAUGCUUGAUGGCGGUGUAAAGGACCACCAUGGCUACGAUCGGUAUGGGCGAUGGAAGUCGGAGCCCAGAGUCGGCUACUGAGACAAGGAGCCGAGCUUUACGAAGCUUAGCGGUCGCGAAAACUCGCCAAUGCACGAAAGUGUGAGUGGGCUACUCCAAGUGACUUUCUUACGGAAGUCUGUCGCUCAGUCUUACCAGCUGAGAAAGGAAGGAGAGGGCAAGGCUGGUGCCAGCCGCCGCGGUAAAACCAGCUCUUCGAGUGGUCAGGACGAAUAUUGGGUCUAAAGCGCUCGUAGCCGGACAAGUAGGUUCCUGGUUAAAUCCGACAGCAUAACUGUUGGCCCGCUGGGAAUACCGCUAGUCUUGGAAGCGGGAGAGGACAGAGGUAGUCAUAGGGCAGGGGUGAAAUCCAGUGAUCCUAUGGCGACCACCGAUGGCGAAGGUAUCUGUCUGGAACGUAUUCGACGGUGAGGGGCGAAAGCUAGGGGAGCGGCCCGGAUUAGAUACCCGGUUAGUCCUAGCCGUAAACGAUGCGGACUAGGUGUUACGGCGGCCAAGAGCCCCCGUAGUGCCACAGUGAAGACGUUAAGUCCCCCACCUGGGGAAGACGGGAUGCCAAGUCUGAAACUCAAAGGAA
RNAcentral lists this ribosomal RNA (850 nucleotides) under uncultured archaeon. Its description in RNAcentral is "bacterial SSU rRNA". It matches the Rfam family "Archaeal small subunit ribosomal RNA", at positions 25 to 864 of the family's 1478-position model. The record is from RNAcentral.